UUCCCGAUUGGCCCCCUCCCAAUUUAGCUCCCCCAUGCGAGGAGGAAGAGGAGGAAGGCAGGGACCAAAACAAAGAGACUCCCUCCCCCCCAACCGGGCGAGGCUCGCAGACCGAGCGGAUUGUGAGGGUCUCUGGGGCUGGCAGGGGGAAAGAGAAGAGACGGGUUUUCUCCAUCGCUGCAACUCCUGAGCCCCCCCAAAAAGCGGUCCUGCACCCCCCUGACCAAGGGCUCACCUUGCUGGUCCCCUGGCAGGAAACUCAUGAGGAAUCCCCUCCCCCUUCCAAAGCAGCCUCUUCCCCCCCUCGGGGGAUCCUAGAGGGUAGGGGGGCAGAGCUGGGCUUCCCACCUCCAGUUCCCCUUCACUACAGUUCCUCUUCUUCUUCCCUGUUUUUUCCCCGAAUGGGGGAGGGGAGGUGGAGGACAAAGCGGGUGGGGGGAGGGAGGCAGAACAGAAGGGGCAGAGCCUGAAAGGGGGGGUGGAAAGGAUAUUUUCAUCUCUCCUGAGGGAGGAUUUUUUUAAAAAAAUGAGCAGCUACUAAAGCAGGUGGUUCUUGCCCAGCCAGCCUUCCAGAGGGAGGGGCUUCUGCCCAGAGACAGGUGAUGCAUUAAGGAGCAGGAGCAGGAGUGAGCUCUCAUUGGGUCUCCAUUGCUCUUCCCUGGCCGGAGCCAGAACCUCUCCCUUGCAUGUCGCCGGGUUGCCAGGCAACCCCGUCAUAGAUGCCAUAAUAAGGCAGGGGGACACCCAAGACCAGCUCUUGAGGGCUUCCACCCAGCAACUUCAUCAACUUUGAGGAAUUCCUUUCCAAUUUUCUGGAAACUUAAGUACAACCGUUGGGGAGAAAUUGAGAAGGAAAAAGAGUUAAUAUACUUUGAAUUUGAUGUACUUACUUGGGUGUGGAAAUGAUCUUCCCUUCAUGACUCGUCCCUCCAAAAGGUCCAUCAAUGGAGAGCCCUUCCAACCUCAACCCCAAAGGAACAUCCAGUCUGGCAUCAUCCCCUCCUUGGUUCUCUCCCCUCGCCUUUUUGGCUGUCUUUCCUUCCUUCUCUGUGACUCAGGCGGAGCCCGAACACCUCAUUCCUUAAUCCUGCAUAUUUUGGAAGUGAUUGUUUCUCUUCUUUUUUCUAAUCUACCAGAUGAUGAUGGACAGGAAAGGAACAACAGGAGAGGAAGAAUUGCCGAGCAAAAUCUGGGGCAACCUGGGGAGGAAUUCGCAAUCAAGAAGUUUGAAGUCUUCUGAAGAUGUAUUCUGUCUUUCUAGAUUAUGAGAACCAGUGUUUUAAUGUGUUUGUAUUUUAGUUUCAAACAUGCCUUAAAUUUUCCCUAUUAUCUAAAUUUAAGCUGCUACAUCUUUUUACAAGAUACAAGGAUGUAUUUUAAGUAAGCCUGCAGUUUUUGCAUAAGUGCAUGAUGUUUGGAUUUAAAGAUCUGUACCAACUUUUUUUCCUCACGCCUUAGAUUCUUAGAUUUAGUUUAUUUAAGUAUGGAAUCUAGAGAUGAUGUAAAUAAAUGAACUUGUACAAAAUUAACA
Molecule: long non-coding RNA, 1531 nt
Filed under: Pogona vitticeps (central bearded dragon)
Lineage: Eukaryota; Metazoa; Chordata; Lepidosauria; Squamata; Agamidae
Description: lncRNA (ENSPVIG00000007052.1)
Source: RNAcentral